RNAcentral lists this ribosomal RNA (397 nucleotides) under uncultured bacterium. RNAcentral's name for it is "partial 16S ribosomal RNA". It matches the Rfam family "Bacterial small subunit ribosomal RNA", at positions 523 to 918 of the family's 1533-position model. The record is from RNAcentral.
AUACGUAGGGGGCGAGCGUUGUCCGGAAUGAUUGGGCGUAAAGGGCGCGUAGGCGGCCCGGUAAGUCUGGAGUGAAAGUCCUGUUUUUAAGAUGGGAAUUGCUUUGGAUACUGUCGGGCUUGAGUGCAGGAGAGGUAAGUGGAAUUCCCAGUGUAGCGGUGAAAUGCGUAGAGAUUGGGAGGAACACCAGUGGCGAAGGCGACUUACUGGACUGUAACUGACGCUGAGGCGCGAAAGUGUGGGGAGCAAACAGGAUUAGAUACCCUGGUAGUCCACACUGUAAACGAUGAAUGCUAGGUGUAGGGGGUAUCGACCCCUUCUGUGCCGCAGUCAACACAAUAAGCAAUCCGCCUGGGGAGUACGGCCGCAAGGUUGAAACUCAAAUGAAUUGGCGGGG